GCAGACACAUUCCAGCCAAUCAGCAGCAGACCCUCCCUCCCAGACCCUCCCACCUCCUGGACAGCUCACUAAGAAUGCAGCUUCAAAAUGGAUGCUGUCCAGGAGUUGGGAGGGUCUGGGAGGGAGGGUCUGCUGCUGAUUGGCUGGAAUGUGUCUG
Non-coding RNA from Pelobates cultripes (western spadefoot toad), 157 nucleotides. Lineage: Eukaryota; Metazoa; Chordata; Amphibia; Anura; Pelobatidae. The record is from the annotation of a GenBank genome assembly.